Molecule: long non-coding RNA, 523 nt
Organism: Alexandromys fortis (reed vole)
Lineage: Eukaryota; Metazoa; Chordata; Mammalia; Rodentia; Cricetidae
Exons: 3
Source: RefSeq, a predicted model, not a curated record
ACUGGCUCCGGGUUUUUAUUAUUAAGAACAGUUGGGAUUCGUGCUACAGAGAAGAGCAAAUGGACACCAGCCAGCUGAUGGGAGACUCAGGGAUCCAGAAAUGCAUAGGCGGAAACUCCCACGUACCUGGGAUGUGGCCUGGGCUGGGCAUGCGCACUACAGUUUACCUCAGCAUCUCAGGGGGCAGCCCAAGCAGGUCAAAGGUCCAGGUACCUCAGCUUCCUGUGGCAACAGAGCAUGGGUGUCCAUGUGUGGCAAGAGAGAGGAGGAGGUGAACCAACACCGGUCCAGCUCCGGAACCAGCAAGUUGCAGUCAGCAUCUGCCAGGCUCAGGUGGGUCAGCAUCUUAACUGUGCCUCAGAGAGAAGGCGAUUUCUUCACAGGAGGCCUUAGUGAGGUUACAAUUCUCCAGCAUCUGUUCCCUGAGGUAACUCAGCAGCAGGUACUUCACCCCCAAAAAUACCUGGGGAGCUUGCUCUCGGUAACAGAGUCUUCAGGUGCGUGUGCCUUUGAAGAGUGCUGG